Cavia aperea (Brazilian guinea pig) is the source of this 96-nucleotide unclassified non-coding RNA. It matches the Rfam family "Y RNA". From Rfam's summary of the family: Y RNAs are components of the Ro ribonucleoprotein particle (Ro RNP), in association with Ro60 and La proteins. The Y RNAs and Ro60 and La proteins are well conserved, but the function of the Ro RNP is not known. NCBI's taxonomy places the organism in Eukaryota, Metazoa, Chordata, Mammalia, Rodentia, Caviidae. The record is from Ensembl.
GGCUGGUCCGAUGGCAGUGGGCUAUCAGAACUUAUUAACAUUAGUGUCACUAAAGUUGGUAUACCACCCCCAUACUGCUAAAUUUGACUGGCAAAA